Molecule: ribosomal RNA, 375 nt
Filed under: uncultured eukaryote
Lineage: Eukaryota
Description: partial 18S ribosomal RNA
Rfam family: Eukaryotic small subunit ribosomal RNA
Source: RNAcentral
CAAUAGCGUAUAUUUAAGUUGUUGCAGUUAAAAAGCUCGUAGUUGGAUUUCGGUUAAGAGCGACCGGUCCGCCGUUUGGUGUGCACUGGUUGGUUUUAACUUCCUGUAGAGGACGUGCUCUGGGUUUAACGACCUGGACUCGGAGUCUACGUGGUUACUUUGAAAAAAUUAGAGUGUUCAAAGCGGGCUUACGCUUGAAUAUUUCAGCAUGGAAUAACACUAUAGGACUCCUGUCCUAUUUCGUUGGUCUCGGGACGGGAGUAAUGAUUAAGAGGAACAGUUGGGGGCAUUCGUAUUUCAUUGUCAGAGGUGAAAUUCUUGGAUUUAUGAAGGACGAACUUCUGCGAAAGCAUUUGCCAAGGAUGUUUUCAUUAA